Molecule: ribosomal RNA, 254 nt
Filed under: uncultured bacterium
Lineage: Bacteria
Description: partial 16S ribosomal RNA
Rfam family: Bacterial small subunit ribosomal RNA
Source: RNAcentral
UACGGGGGGAGCAAGCGUUGUUCGGAUUUACUGGGCGUAAAGGGCGCGUAGGCGGCCAGCACAAGUCAGUUGUGAAAUCUCCGAGCUUAACUCGGAAAGGUCAACUGAUACUGUGCGGCUAGAGUGCGGAAGGGGCAACUGGAAUUCUUGGUGUAGCGGUGAAAUGCGUAGAUAUCAAGAGGAACACCAGUGGCGAAGGCGAGUCUCUGGACAUUUCCUGACGCUGAGGCACGAAAGCCAGGGGAGCAAACGGG